GUUUGGUUGAAGAUGGUUUGAAUCACAUAUAGUGGUGGUAGUACAUGAUAAUGCCACCUAUUUACUUUGUGAAUUGAAUAGUAUGAUGUUGAGUAUACAUAUAGCAAGAAAGUAGAUCAAGGCAUUCAAGAGAAGAAAUAGUAGAUUUAUUCCAAAUAAUCUUUUAAAUUUUGAAACAUUAGAUCUAAAAAAAAUAGAAGAUACAAAAAGAUAAGUUAAUGGAAGACUUCAUUUCUAUUGGUUGAAGGUCAUAUCCAAUGGACUUCAAGAUGUUAUCUAAGACCAUAUUAAAAUUUGAAGCCUUUUUAGGAUAGGCAUUUAAAGUUUAAAAAUUAAGAUUUAUUAGUUUGUAUUGAGAGCUAUAAUUUUUGUAUAAAAAUCAAGGAAUUUGAAGCUUAUAUGAAGAAGAAGUGGACACUUGAAAUUAAGGUCUU
RNAcentral lists this long non-coding RNA (434 nucleotides) under Physcomitrium patens. RNAcentral's name for it is "long non-coding RNA (PPAT_LNC000875)". The record is from RNAcentral. Lineage: Eukaryota; Viridiplantae; Streptophyta; Bryopsida; Funariales; Funariaceae.